GAUGAACGCUGGCGGCGUGCCUAAUACAUGCAAGUCGAGCGAACGGACGAGAAGCUUGCUUCUCUGAUGUUAGCGGCGGACGGGUGAGUAACACGUGGAUAACCCACCUAUAAGACUGGGAUAACUUCGGGAAACCGGCGCUAAUACCGGAUGAUAUUUUGAACCGCAUGGUUCAAAAGUGAAAGACGGUCUUGCUGUCACUUAUAGAUGGAUCCGCGCUGCAUUAGCUAGUUGGUAAGGUAACGGCUUACCAAGGCAACGAUGCAUAGCCGACCUGAGAGGGUGAUAGGCCACACGGGAACUGAGACACGGUCCAGACUACUACGGGAGGCAGCAGUAGGGAAUCGUCCGCAAUGGGCGAAAGCCUGACGGAGCAACGCCGCGUGAGUGAUGAAGGUGUUCGGAUCGUAAAACUCUGUUAUUAGGGAAGAACAUAUGUGUAAGUAACUGUGCACAUCUUGACGGUACCUAAUCAGAAAGCCACGGCUAACUACGUG
Molecule: ribosomal RNA, 497 nt
Filed under: uncultured bacterium
Lineage: Bacteria
Description: partial 16S ribosomal RNA
Rfam family: Bacterial small subunit ribosomal RNA
Source: RNAcentral